RNAcentral lists this ribosomal RNA (406 nucleotides) under uncultured bacterium. RNAcentral describes it as "partial 16S ribosomal RNA". It matches the Rfam family "Bacterial small subunit ribosomal RNA", at positions 30 to 526 of the family's 1533-position model. The record is from RNAcentral.
AUUGAACGCUGGCGGCAGGCCUAACACAUGCAAGUCGAACGAGUGGCGGACUGGCGAGUAAUUUCUGGGAAACUGCCUGAUGGAGGGGGAUAACUACUAGAAACGGUAGCUAAUACCGCAUACCAUCCGAUGUGCCCAGAUGGGAUUAGCUAGUAGGUGAGGUAACGGCUCACCGAGGCGACGCUCACUAGCGAGUCUGAGAGGAUGACCAGCCACACUGGAACUGAGACACGGUCAAGACUCCUAAGGGAGGCAGCAGUGGGGAAUAUGGGACAAUGGGCGCAAGUCUGAGGCAGCAACGCCGCGUGUAUGAAGAAGGCCUUCGGUUUGUAAAGUACUUUGAGGGGGGAGGAGUUAUCUAUAGAAGAAGCACCGGCUAACCACGUGUCAGCAGCCGCGGUAAUUC